This is a non-coding RNA of Cordylochernes scorpioides, 84 nucleotides long. The record is from the annotation of a GenBank genome assembly. NCBI's taxonomy places the organism in Eukaryota, Metazoa, Arthropoda, Arachnida, Pseudoscorpiones, Chernetidae.
UGUCAGCGGUGGGAUUCGAACCCACGCUUCUUUGAGACUCGUGCCUAAAACCAGCGCCUUAGACCACCCGACCCCGCUACCGAC